CUCCUACGGGAGGCAGCAGUGGGGAAUUUUGCGCAAUGGGGGAAACCCUGACGCAGCAACGCCGCGUGGAGGAUGAAGCCCCUUGGGGUGUAAACUCCUUUCGACCGGGAAAAUAAUGAUGGUACCGGUGGAAGAAGCACCGGCUAACUCUGUGCCAGCCGCCGCGGUAAUAC
RNAcentral lists this ribosomal RNA (173 nucleotides) under uncultured bacterium. Its description in RNAcentral is "partial 16S ribosomal RNA". It matches the Rfam family "Bacterial small subunit ribosomal RNA", at positions 336 to 526 of the family's 1533-position model. The record is from RNAcentral.